AAAGCGAGCGGCGGAUGGGUGAGUAACACGUGGGGAACCUGCCCCUAAGUCUGGGAUACCAUUUGGAAACAGGUGCUAAUACCGGAUAAUAAAGCAGAUCGCAUGAUCAGCUUUUGAAAGGCGGCGUAAGCUGUCGCUAAGGGAUGGCCCCGCGGUGCAUUAGCUAGUUGGUAAGGUAACGGCUUACCAAGGCGACGAUGCAUAGCCGAGUUGAGAGACUGAUCGGCCACAUUGGGACUGAGACACGGCCCAAACUCCUACGGGAGGCAGCAGUAGGGAAUCUUCCACAAUGGACGCAAGUCUGAUGGAGCAACGCCGCGUGAGUGAAGAAGGUUUUCGGAUCGUAAAGCUCUGUUGUUGGUGAAGAAGGAUAGAGGUAGUAACUGGCCUUUAUUUGACGGUAAUCAACCAGAAAGUCACGGCUAACUACGUGCCAGCAGCCGCGGUAAUGCGUAGGUGGCAAGCGUUGUCCGGAUUUAUUGGGCGUAAAGCGAGCGCAGGCGGAAAAAUAAGUCUAAUGUGAAAGCCCUCGGCUUAACCGAGGAACUGCAUCGGAAACUGUUUUUCUUGAGUGCAGAANAGGAGAGUGGAACUCCAUGUGUAGCGGUGGAAUGCGUAGAUAUAUGGAAGAACACCAGUGGCGAAGGCGGCUCUCUGGUCUGCAACUGACGCUGAGGCUCGAAAGCAUGGGUAGCGAACAGGAUUAGAUACCCUGGUAGUCCAUGCCGUAAACGAUGAGUGCUAAGUGUUGGGAGGUUUCCGCCUCUCA
Molecule: ribosomal RNA, 769 nt
Filed under: uncultured bacterium
Lineage: Bacteria
Description: bacterial SSU rRNA
Rfam family: Bacterial small subunit ribosomal RNA
Source: RNAcentral